AGAGUUUGAUCAUGGCUCAGAACGAACGCUGGCGGCGUGCUUAACACAUGCAAGUCGAGUGCGCGCCUGUAGCAAUACAGGUGGCGCACGGCGCACGGGUGCGUAACACGUGGGUAACCUGCCCUUUGGUGGGGAAUAACUCCGCGAAAGCGAAGCUAAUUCCGCAUAAGAUCCGCAAGGAUGAAAGCCGAAAGGCGCCGAUGGAGGGGCCCGCGCACGAUUAGCUAGUUGGUAGGGUAAUGGCCUACCAAGGCUUUGAUCGUUAGCUGGUCUGAGAGGAUGGCCAGCCACACUGGAACUGAGACACGGUCCAGACUCCUACGGGAGGCAGCAGUGGGGAAUCUUGCACAAUGGGCGAAAGCCUGAUGCAGCGACGCCGCGUGGGGGAUGAAGCUUCUCGGAGUGUAAACCCCUUUCGAUCCGGACGAAUGCCCGCAAGGGAUUGACGGUACGGAUAUAAGAAGCCCCGGCUAACUACGUGCCAGCAGCCGCGGUAAUACGUAGGGGGCCAGCGUUGUUCGGAAUUACUGGGUGUAAAGGGUUCGUAGGCGGUGCGGCAAGUUGGGAGUGAAAUCUCUGGGCUCAACCCAGAGGCUGCUUCCAAAACUGCCGUGCUUGAGUGUGGGAGAGGCUCGUGGAAUUGCAGGUGUAGCGGUGAAAUGCGUAGAUAUCUGCAGGAACACCCGUGGCGAAAGCGGCGAGCUGGACCACUACUGACGCUGAAGAACGAAAGCUGGGGGAGCAAACAGGAUUAGAUACCCUAGUAGUCC
Molecule: ribosomal RNA, 770 nt
Filed under: uncultured bacterium
Lineage: Bacteria
Description: bacterial SSU rRNA
Rfam family: Bacterial small subunit ribosomal RNA
Source: RNAcentral